AAAGGAGGUGAGCUGGGGAAGCAGGCAGAUGCCACAUAUAGGGAAUGGUAGCAUCAGAGUCAACAACACAAUUUUAAACUAUGCUGUGAUUAUUCACAGUCUGGAGUUCGUGACUGGUUAUCAACACAACGAAGGCAGUAGAGGGUGCAUUCCCUUGGAUGAAAUAUAACCAGGAUUGGUAACGAAAAGCCAGAACGCUUGUUAAAAUACUUGUCCAUCUCUAGCACAGUCUCAGAGCCAAGACUUCCAAGAUGACAUCAAUGUGAGACUCUACGGAUGACUCAUUUCCUAUGAAGAGUCAAGAGCCAGGAAAGACUAAAGAUGAUGAACGUAUACAAAAUCCAGAAAAACUAACUGGGAGGCCUCAGAAAAGUAAUAUUUAAAAGAGAAUAUAAGGGAUGCUUAACUUUUCCUUAACAUAAUAAAUAAUGAGAAAUGGACAAACGAAUUCAAAGAUUCCAUUUCAAACAUUCUUAUGAUUGCCUCAAGAUAUUUUUCUGUUUCUUUUUAUUAUCUUUGGCUGGGUGACGUUUCCUCAUAAAUA
Odocoileus virginianus texanus is the source of this 544-nucleotide long non-coding RNA. RefSeq lists it as uncharacterized. The record is from RefSeq and is a predicted model, not a curated record. NCBI's taxonomy places the organism in Eukaryota, Metazoa, Chordata, Mammalia, Artiodactyla, Cervidae.